This 405-nucleotide ribosomal RNA is filed under the name uncultured bacterium. RNAcentral describes it as "partial 16S ribosomal RNA". It matches the Rfam family "Bacterial small subunit ribosomal RNA", at positions 30 to 526 of the family's 1533-position model. The record is from RNAcentral.
AUUGAACGCUGGCGGCAGGCUUAACCCAUGCAAGUCGAACGAGUGGCGGACGGGUGAGUAAUGCUUGGGAAUAUAGCUUAUGGAGGGGGAUAACUACGGGAAACUGUAGCUAAUACCGCGUACAAUAGGAUGAGCCCAAGUGUGAUUAGGUAGUUGGUGAGGUAAAGGCUCACCAAGACGACGAUCUCUAGCUGGUCUGAGAGGAUGACCAGCCACACUGUGACUGAGACACGGCCCAGACUCCUACGGGAGGUAGCAGGGGGGAAUAUGGCGCAAUGGGGGCAACCUGACGCAGCCAGGCCGAGUGAAUGAAGAAGGCCUUCGGGUUUGAAAGUUCUUUCGGUAGCGAGGCGUUAACUACAGAAGAAGCACCGGCUAACUCCGUGCCAGCCGCCGCGGUAAUAC